CCGCGUGAGUGAUGAAGGCCUUCGGGUUGUAAAGCUCUUUUAUCAGGGACGAUAAUGACGGUACCUGAGGAAUAAGCUCCGGCUAACUUCGUGC
RNAcentral lists this ribosomal RNA (94 nucleotides) under uncultured bacterium. Its description in RNAcentral is "partial 16S ribosomal RNA". It matches the Rfam family "Bacterial small subunit ribosomal RNA", at positions 397 to 508 of the family's 1533-position model. The record is from RNAcentral.